Molecule: ribosomal RNA, 484 nt
Filed under: uncultured Desulfobulbus sp.
Lineage: Bacteria; Pseudomonadati; Thermodesulfobacteriota; Desulfobulbia; Desulfobulbales; Desulfobulbaceae
Description: bacterial SSU rRNA
Rfam family: Bacterial small subunit ribosomal RNA
Source: RNAcentral
UAAAGGAAUUGACGGGGCCCGCACAAGCGGUGGAGUAUGUGGUUAAUUCGAUGCAACGCGAAGAACCUUACCUGGUCUUGACAUCCCGGAGACCCUUAGGAAACUAGGGGGUGCUUCCAUCUGGAAGAAUCUGGAGACAGGUGCUGCAUGGCUGUCGUCAGCUCGUGUCGUGAGAUGUUGGGUUAAGUCCCGCAACGAGCGCAACCCUUGCCUUUAGUUGCCAGCAGUUCGGCUGGGCACUCUAAAGGGACUGCCGGUGUUAAACCGGAGGAAGGUGGGGAUGACGUCAAGUCCUCAUGGCCUUUAUGACCAGGGCUACACACGUACUACAAUGGCCGAUACAAAGGGCAGCGACACUGCGAGGUGAAGCCAAUCCCGUAAAAUCGGUCUCAGUCCGGAUUGGAGUCUGCAACUCGACUCCAUGAAGUUGGAAUCGCUAGUAAUCGUGGAUCAGCAUGCCACGGUGAAUACGUUCCCGGGCCUU